Ipomoea nil (Japanese morning glory) is the source of this 101-nucleotide long non-coding RNA. RefSeq lists it as uncharacterized. NCBI's taxonomy places the organism in Eukaryota, Viridiplantae, Streptophyta, Magnoliopsida, Solanales, Convolvulaceae. The record is from RefSeq and is a predicted model, not a curated record. The transcript has 3 exons.
AUCACAUUGAUGAAAUGAAGGCUCAAUUAGCUAGGGAAUUAGAAAUGAAAGACUUGGGACAAGCAAACAAGAUUCUAGGGAUGCAAAUUCACCGAGACAGA